AAAGAUAAUUUUUUUUAUUAAUAUCGUAAUUGUGGCCCUAAAUGUAAUGAAUUAUUAUAAUAUUUGACUACAUAAAGAAAUGCAUUUAAUUUAGUUCAUGUAAGGUAACAAAAUCAACUACAUAAAAAUGGUAACUAAAUCAUCUUGAUAAAAAUAAACAAUAAUUAUUCGAAUUGAUGCAUGAAAUAUAGGGAUUGAAUAAGUAAGAAACUAUAAUGAAUCAAUGAAUUGAUGGUGUUUUGGUUUUAGAUAAAUCGUUAUCAAUAAAUUAUGGUAU
RNAcentral lists this long non-coding RNA (277 nucleotides) under Fragaria vesca (wild strawberry). RNAcentral describes it as "long non-coding RNA (FVES_LNC000398)". The record is from RNAcentral. Lineage: Eukaryota; Viridiplantae; Streptophyta; Magnoliopsida; Rosales; Rosaceae.